GGACGGGUGAGUAAUGCUUGGGAAUCUACCUAGUAGUGGGGGAUAACGUGUGGAAACGACUGCUAAUACCGCAUACGCCCUACGGGGGAAAGGAGGGGACCUUCGGGCCUUCCGCGAUUGGAUGAACCUAGGUGGGAUUAGCUAGUUGGUGAGGUAAUGGCUCACCAAGGCGACGAUCCCUAGCUGUUCUGAGAGGAUGAUCAGCCACACUGGGACUGAGACACGGCCCAGACUCC
RNAcentral lists this ribosomal RNA (236 nucleotides) under uncultured bacterium. RNAcentral describes it as "partial 16S ribosomal RNA". It matches the Rfam family "Bacterial small subunit ribosomal RNA", at positions 100 to 339 of the family's 1533-position model. The record is from RNAcentral.